Molecule: long non-coding RNA, 624 nt
Filed under: Arabidopsis lyrata
Lineage: Eukaryota; Viridiplantae; Streptophyta; Magnoliopsida; Brassicales; Brassicaceae
Description: long non-coding RNA (ALYR_LNC002363)
Source: RNAcentral
AGCCUUUUAAUUAGAUCUAUAUAACUUUAUAUAUUUCGACUGAAUUAAAUACAUUUUAUAAGGUUAAACAAGCCAUAACCUAUCAGAAUUUUAAUCAAACCAACUAUAGGAACACAAAAGUAUUUCAUCGAGUAAAAAAGAGUAUUUUUUUGAAGUAUCACACUAAACGAAAUCUAUGUCUACUUUCAUUAUUGGAUUACUGAACUUCCAUGAAAUCAUCAUCUACUACAUUGAUGAAGAAAUUGAAAAACACACACUAAAGAAAAAGAGAAAGAAAAAAAGAAAGAAAGAAAGAUUCUUUCAUUAUUGGAUUAUCGAACGUAGACGAAGUCACCAUCAUCUACAUUGAUAUAGAAAGUGAAAAACACACACUGAACAAGAAAGAAAAUUAUAGAAAGAAAGCUGCUUAGUUUUUGAUAAUCCACUUAUUCAAAAGCCUUUUGAUAGUUCUUAAGAACAGCUUUUUCUUCCUCAGGUGUAAAAUCAUUCUCAAUGUUGAAGCGUUGGCGGAUCUGUUUUGGAGUUUCCUCUUUGAUCAUAUCCGCGACAGUUUGGCAUGUUAGGUCAGUAAGGCUUUUGAUGUUUAGGUGAUUCGCAGCCAUAAUGAGAUCAAAGAUCGUGGAU